AGCCUAUAAAAGGCCUUCCCACCUCCCUCCCUCGUAUCUCCCUCCUUCCCGCAUUCGGAACAGGGUGUGUUUCCUCUUCCCUCCCUCCGAUCUCGUUCACGACGAAUGCCCCGAUCGAACUCCUCCGACCGCCGUAGAAGAAGAAUUGCUAUCGCCGUGCGGAUUCGAAGCUUCUCAUCAGGUCAAGGUAAAAGAAUACUGCGAGUUAGGGGCAACAACAGGCUCGUGGAGUAGAGAACCAGAAUGAUGCAUUAAAUGCAUGAAUUCAUUUCCAUGAGGAGACUUGAUCAGUUGAUAUCCUGAGGUUGAUAAAUUCAGCAACUUUUGCUCAUCAAGAUGAUACUAGCCAUUUCUAUGUUGAGAAAACAGGUAAUCUUGAGAUUCACAUUGGAAUUUAAUUUUCUCUAACAUACUCUGUUAGAAUCCUUUUGGCUUAGAAAUCAUGAAAUGUAGAACUAUCUUAUUGUUUAUAUGCAUGAAUUUAAGAAGAAGUCAUUAUGUUAUGCAGUUGAUGGUCUCUGAUGCUUCAGAUAGUGAGGUUGAUCUGAAGUUGAUUUUAGAAGUAAAAUUUCAAUGCCUUAACUAGUCUCAACCAAACUAUUUGAGUCCUCUUUGUAUAAGCAUUUUUCUCAUUUAUUCCUGCUAAUGGCAAUAUGAUCUAUUAUUCCAUGCUUCUUGAAAAACUACUUCAAUCUAUAUUUUGUCAACUGCCUCAACUGCACUUUAAAGACCAUUAGUGCCUGGACCAUAUUGUUGUGUCAAAACAUAAUUUUGCUGUAAUUGUGGUGCUUAGAGAGCUAAUUUGCUGUAAAACCAUUCAGCAGCUAAUUCUAAAUAUUGAAAAAAUGGUCAUACCCUGAACAUGUCAACUGUUCCAUGUAUAACUGUCUAACUUGAUCUGUGUCAUUCUCCAGAAGUGCAAAACCCAUAUAUAAUGAAAGGGAUGUGUUUGGCAGUUAAUACUGAGCAACUGAUGCAGAUAUAAGGGCUUGGCAAGCUCAAAUUAAUAUUUGGCUGGAGCAAUCAUGGUUCAUGUUGCAUAUUGAUGAAGUUAUUAAAGAGAAAAAAAGACUCACCCCAGAAGUUCACGUUAUUACUUUUGUUAAAUUACAUCAAACUGUUGCCUUGAUCUUUUAAAUAUGCGAUCUGUUAUCCUUUUGUACUCUUUCUGAUACACAUUUGAUUGCCUCCUUUAGGUUUAAGGACGUUCCAGAGGAUUAUGAAAUUGAAUGCAAAUUCAGUUAGAGGGUGCAGAAAUUUGAUGAUCUGUCUGUAACUACUUUGGAUCAUUAAUGCAUACAAAACAUUGUGGUGUUCUCAUGGCAUGUGAUAUUUAACAAGUAUGACUUAUGACUAUUCGGCAUUGACUCAUUAAUGACAUGGUUGCUUGUGCAGAGUUCCCAUUGACAGUAAUUAUGUGUAUGGUUUUGUAAAAACUAGGGUGAACUCUUGCACCACCUAACUUGGCACACACUUUUGUUUAUAAAAGUUGUGUUUUAUCGCAAAAAAGUGGAAAGUAAUUGUGAUAAAUUAUUGGAGGUUGGCUUUAGAAAACUGAAAUCCAGGAUUCAUAUUUUCUAAUCACUAUAAUACAAAAAAAAACAUUAUUUUCAGGUUUUCAAUUAAGCAAUUCACGUAACAUUUCUUUUUUGAGUUACUCAUUUUUUUAAUUUGCAGCCUUCUAACUAAUAUUGGACUGACAGUUUAUGGUCUAUGAAGGGUUAAUAGAUAUUACAACAAACUCAGUUGAUGACACGUGACUCAUGGUUGACUUGAAACUUGGUCUGACGUGUCACUCUGUCUUUUGUGUUUGUAAAUGCUUACUGAGUAUUUCCCCCACUCUUUAAGAGAGGGAGAGAGAUACCUGUUAUAUGUCAUCUUAGCAGUUCUGGAGACUUAUGAUUCAGUAAGUUCCGUAAAUGCUGAAUUAUAUCUCCAAUUGCUUACUUAUAUAAUUUCUGCAUUUUUCUAAACUUGCUGAUGCGAUUCUGUUGAUUUGUUUUGAUCAUGAUUAGAUGCAGAAUCAUCAGUCUAGAAAAUCUUCACAUAGCUGGCAAAAGCAAUAUUUGGAGCAAAGGAAAUGACAACAGCAGCCAUGUGGACUAGAGAACCAUAAUAAUGAAAGUUACCAUGAGGAGCCUUAAUCACUUGAUGUCCUAAGCUUGAUAUAUUCGGCAACAACAUCUCAUCAAGAUUAUUCUAGCCUUAUUGAUGGUAAGAAAAUAGAUAUUCAAAGCUUAGCUAUGUUAUUUAAUUUUCUGAGGCAUCCUCUGUUAGAAUCCUUUUGACUCGGGAAUCAUGGCACAUUGUUUAUAGCUUUAUAUGCAUCAGUUUAAGACAAAACCAUCAUAUUAUGCAUUAUGUGAUUGAUAGUCUCUGAUGGUUUAGAUGACAAGGCUGAUUUCAAGUUGAUUUUAGCUGAGUUUUACUCCCAUAAAAACUACAGUCAUGGUUAACUAGCCUCAAUUAUUUGGGUCAUUCUUUUGUAGCGAUUUUGCACUCUUAGUCACUUCAUUCUUGUUAAUGACAACAUGUUCUAUCAUUCCAAUCUUCUUGGAUAAAAACCUCCAUCUGUAUUUUCUGAGGUCUAUCUCUCCUCUUUCUUAACCUUGUGAGUACCUUUUCUUAACCUUGUGAGUACCUUUUCUUGUGGAUGAAUGCCACUUUUAGCUAUGCUAAUCAACCCUGUAUGCAUGUAUAGAAGCACCCAAAGGUGACAUAUGCGUGUGCAUGAUGGGGUGAAAAAAGAUAAGUCAUUGGAUCAUAACCAGAAUAAGAAAAUAGUAAACCACCUUGUUUUGCAUGGGUGUUGAUGAACAUAUAAAUUCAUAUGAAUGCCAUGAAUUUUGGAGAUUAAAAAAAUGACGAGUAAACUAUUAAAAUGUACUACAAAGUAAUAAAUAAAUCAUCUUUAAUAAAUCAUAUUUUACACUUCUUGAAUCAAAUACAUAACCGAAUCAGUAGUAUAUAGACUCAUGAAGAAAAUGCUUGCUGGGCCACUUUGUCAAAUGAUUUUAAUGGAAUAAUUAAUGUGGUGUUAAUUUUGCAUGAAUACGAUGCCAACUAAGGCCCAUAAGUUAUACAAAAUAUACUAAAUUCUUGUGGACUCAAGUGAUGCCAUGAAGAUGCAAAAAGCACACCUAUCAAAACUAUCGUAUAAAAGGUUUAGGAUUAGUCGAUUCAUAUUUAUACGCUUGCAAUUCAUAUUUAUUCUCUUUAUUUUCUUAAAAGAUCCUGGGGGAUGAGACCCAUGCAAGGGAAGCAAAUGAUGCGGAUUGAUUUGCUUCACAUUCAAUAGCCUGAAUUUUGUUGAUUUAUAGUUUUUAAUUGUAGGAUGUUUUUAAUUGUAUGCUUUAGAUUGAAGUCAUUAAGGCUUUUCGAAGUCUAAUAAUAGCCAAUCAAGGUCGUAUUGUAAGACUUUUAAGUCCAUAAUUCUAGGAGGUCCAAAAGGAGUCAAUUUAGGUAAGUUAAGGUGUUGGUUACUGUUGAUGUUUCUGUAGCAUGCAUAGUGAUGCUACAGUACAUGUCGGCUGUUAGAAGUUAAUAACUGGUUUGCUCUGGAAACUUCAAGGAGUUAAGACUGACGGUUCGGUGAUCGGGCGAAGAUAGACGACAACUGUAAGCUUUUUAGGGGUUUGUUUCUAUCUUUUGAAGAGGCCUGGAAAGAUUAAAAUUCGUUACUUGUGGGUCAAGUUUGAGUCUUAAAGUGGGCUGAGUAAAAGACUUGUAUGCGGUGUUUUUUUAAAAAACAUUUUAAAUCAUGAAUCAAAUUGAAGAUUUGAGGCUAGGUUCUUGUUUCCUCCCUCUCUCUUCCCCUCUUCUCCUCCUGUCCGUAUUUUCUGCCAUUUGUUCCUCUCUUUUCUCGCUUUCUCUCAAUCUUCUUCUUUAUUUUCAUAAUCUGUUGUUUAUUCCUGCUUUUUUUUGAGCUUUGAAUAGAUCACAUUGCUGUCUGUAGAUUUCUGUGUGCAUUAUUUGAUCUAAUCUGAUUACAGAUUUAUAUUUGAUUGUCCAAGAGAGCUCUAGAUUGUGAUUUGGUUAAUCUUCCCACAUAUAGGACACCCCAAAUAGACAUUCUUUUAAAUAGCCAUUGCUCUAAAUUUCAAGUUUUCUUAUUGAAUAACAAAUCACAGAACCUUGACAACCAGCAAUAAAGUCCUUCGUACCUUUAAUUCUUCACCUUAGGACCACCAAAGCAUGCAGGAAGUCCUAACCCCUUGCUGUCCUACAUCACAUACUCAUAACAAAUACUGUGAAACUUAUCCUGCAUUGGUUACUGGAUGAAGAGUAAAUUUUCUUAGCUGAAUCAUCAAACAAUCACCAAUCAAAUCUUAUAUUCAUCUACAUUUGGCUCGAACCUACUUGAUUUUUCAUUUCUCAUCAACAUUUUACCUCUCAAGGCAGAUAGCUAUCAUCUAAUAUUUCCAAUGACACUAAAUAUCUUAGUCUUUCAUCAUAAAAGAUAACCACUGAUAACUAAAGUUAAGUAUGUGAGGACCUGUGCGGCCAUAUGUUAAUCCCAUAUAGGCUAUGAAUUGGGUAGAUGUUGGAUACUUAUAUAGUAUCAAGGAACCCAAAUAAUGCCUGUUGGCUAGCCUUUUGGGGUGGUGUCUUGGGUUGUUACAACUAAGUGCUGGAAAGGCUGCACAUGAGUCGGGUUGACCCGUGAUCCAACCUAACCCAACCUGCUUAGACCGUAUCCGAACCCAAUUUAAGGACCUCUGGGGUUGGGUCAGGUUCCAAAUUUGGACUUGUUUCACAUUCCAAGUUGGGUCUGGGUUUAGAGAGUUUUGAUCCAAAGCGAUUCAUUUGUUAUAUGGGUCUAAUUUGGGUCUUUUGACCUAUUAUCGGACCUGACCUGAACCCGGUAUACUUGUUAACUUGAGGUGAGGAGGGGUGUUAAGCCGAACUACUCUUUAAUGUAGUCUCUACUCUUCCGAAGUCCCAAUUAUUUCCAACUCUCAAAUACCCGUUUGGUCUCCCUUGGUUCGAGACCCUAACCCUAGAGCCUCUUCCACAACGGCAAUCGACUGAUCCUGCCGUCCAGCAACGUUGACGUGCUUCGAGCCUUCAUGAUGAUCUCCUGAGGUAUCCCCUUCACUACGUCGGCGUGCUUCGAGCGGUCAAGCCUCUUCUCACGACAGUCUCUCGAGGUAUCCUCGCUCUCCCCUUCCACCCUCACCCAUCUCUGCCAUCGGUUGGCUAUGGAGGGUCGUCCAUCCAUCUCUUCUUUCCCCAUUUUGGCUGUUUGGUUGGGGUGAAAAUUAGGGAGUGGGUUCCUUAUGGGAGUUGCUGGUCUUGGGAGUUUGUGGGUGCUGCCCUAAAGUUUGGUGCUGGAGGUUAGCGACAUUGUUCCCGUGGGUUCUUGGUUUUGUUGGGAUUUGUGGAUUGUCGUGCAUUCCUAGUGUUUGAGGUUUUGGGAGGGGGAUGGUGGUGGAUUUGGAAUUGAUGGGAUUUGGUCUGGGUUUUUGUUGGGUAUAUGCCUUACAAUUGGUUCUGAGCUUGGUUUGGUAAUUGUCGGGUAUAUGCCAAAAUGCAAGUGUGGUACUUUUACAACCGACUCAAACCUUCAAAGCUUACUUGGAUUGCGAUGUAUAAGAAGCAGCAUAAGAAGGAUAUCCAUGCUGAAACUGUGAAGAAGAGGUGCCAAAGUAUCAAGACACCUUACUCUAGAUCAAUUGUUGAUGCUACUUUAGAGGUGAUUCAGAAGAGAAGAAUUGAGAAACCAGAAGUAUGGGAUGCUGCCAUAUGGUAUAUUGCUGCUCUUUUCUCAUCCUUCCCUCUGAUUUCUUUCUUCAUUAUCUUGUGUCAAGAACGUACAUCCUUGGAUGGAAAGUUUGACUUUUAGAUUGUAGAUUGAUAUUGUGACUGACUUGGCAUUCUAUCCAUGCUCUGUUUCAAUCUAUUAGAUAUCUUUAAAUAUAAUAAUUCGUAUAAUCCAUAGGGAAUGCUUGACUUUCGGAACUCUUUUCAAUUGCUUUCUGAGCCUUGUUGGAAAAAAAUUAUGUUGAAAGAGAUAUUCAUGUCUAAUAAUGAGUCUAAGAAUUUUCUUUUGUCCAAAUUUAACUUUCACUUUAGAACUCCAUAUGCGUGACCCAGAUUCGACCCGAAUCUGAUUUGGUCCUAAAAUUUUUCGGGUUGGGACCGGAUUAUACAUGGACCCGACUUGACUCGAAUGACCCGUUGGGUCAAAAAUUUUGGCCGGAGAUCCGAUCUGACUUAAUCUUCUAUUAGGUUGGGUUUGCAUCCAACAUUAGGACCCGAACAAGGAAUUGGGUCGAGUUGGGGUCAGUCAUGACUUGGUCCGACCCGACACAUUUGCACCCAAUGUAGGUGCAUGCUAAGGCGUGCCUCAGUAAAUCUUAGAAGAUGCACACAUCCAGAUUAACAUCGAACCAUCAAUAGGUAACUUAUUUUAUGAUCAAAUCUAGACCACUAGAUAACUUCGAUGCUUUGAUAUGUUUUGUUGACACUUCUAGCAGUUGGAUGAGGGCUUAAAUCAUCAUAAUAGGAAAUUUGUAGCGUGAUCUUGGCCCUUGACUUCAUCACACGCUUUUGUUCUAUGGAUCUCAUCCCCAAGAUCAUUUUGAUUUUUUCCAUCUUUAUGCUCCAUUGUCAAAACUUUAUGCCUUCAUCAAUUAUAAAUUGAUUUGGAACUACAUGUUUGAGACUUUCAAUCUCCUCAACUAGGCUUUCUAGGAGCUAUUGCAUCUUCAAUUGAAUCAUUGUGAUGUGAAGGAUCAUCACUUCUGAGAUUUCUGAUAAACAAAUCUCCAAUCAUCAUAAUGUGAAUGAAGAAGUUACUUUAUACUAAAUUCAUUUCCAAAUGACUGCCUAGUCCGUUAUACAAUUUCCUAAUGAUUCCUAAAUACUGCGUGAGAGGACUGCUCCAGUUUUUCCGUGGAAUGGUAUGCUCCAACAGUUGAGAUAGUCUGGUCCAUUUCCUGACUUGUCCUAUCUCGAUACUUGGCACAGUGCCUUGUCUCAGCACUUGGGAUGGUGGGAUGCCCCACCGUCCAUCCAGUAUUUAAAACCUUGGUGAUAAGCUAUAUCCAUUGCAUGUAUCAUCUAGGCUCCUUGGCAACCAUGAAGUGCUGCUUUUGGUUGGCAAGUUAACUGAUUUAAAAUCCUUCAGCUCUCAUUCUUCUAAGAAUUUAUAUGAUUAUCCUUCAUAAUAAGCACACUACACCAUGUUGGUUGUGCUGAUAACGGGCCUUCCGUAUUGAGUAAUAGGCCAGAUUGUGGAGUUAAACUUGUUUGGUGUAAGAGCAGACUGUGUUUGAAGAAACUUCUGCAGUUCAAGGUCGGGCAUUUGCAACUGUACCUCACCAAGCAAGAUUUACUGGCCAGCCCGUUCCUGAGAUGGCCGGCUCCAUGCUUAAAUUGCCAAGGAUUGGCUCACAGUGAUUUGGAUUCCUUGGCUAGUGAAAAGUCAAGAUCUGGCAGGAGAAUCUGGUUUGGUAAGUCAAUUUAUAAAAUACAUUAAUGCAUCAAAAUUAAUUCUUUUCCAACAUGCAAGUCUCAGGCAAGAAAGUUAAAUAGCUGAUGGCAGCCCUUUGGUGGCAGCUAAAAGAGGAGCAAUAGAAGAGCUACACCGUCUCUCUUUGCAUGAGAUUUCUGUGUUACCAUGGCACUAGUUGGUCAAUUCCAGUUUUAACUUUUUUGAUAUACAAGUAUGAUUAAUCUGAAGUUGAAAAGCUUCAUUACAUUUAUUCAGUGUCUUCCUGAAGCAAUAUCAAUAAAUCAAGUCUCCUAAAGUUUAGUAUCUUAGAAACUUGUUCUGAAAAAAAAUGAUACUUUUGGAAUGAAUUUUCCGUCCAUUCA
Non-coding RNA from Phoenix dactylifera (date palm), 7821 nucleotides. The record is from RefSeq and is a predicted model, not a curated record. Lineage: Eukaryota; Viridiplantae; Streptophyta; Magnoliopsida; Arecales; Arecaceae.